RNAcentral lists this ribosomal RNA (253 nucleotides) under uncultured bacterium. RNAcentral's name for it is "partial 16S ribosomal RNA". It matches the Rfam family "Bacterial small subunit ribosomal RNA", at positions 524 to 776 of the family's 1533-position model. The record is from RNAcentral.
GACGGAGGAUGCAAGCGUUAUCCGGAAUUAUUGGGCGUAAAGCGUCCGCAGGUGGCUGUUCAAGUCCGCUGUGAAAACUCGAGGCUCAACUUCGAGCUGUCGGUGGAAACUUUCUGGCUAGAGUCCGGAAGAGGAGAAUGGAAUUCCUGGUGUAGCGGUGAAAUGCGCAGAUAUCAGGAAGAACACCCGUGGCGAAGGCGGUUCUCUGGGACGGUACUGACGCUGAGACGCGAAAGCGUGGGGAGCGAACAGG